Molecule: ribosomal RNA, 440 nt
Filed under: uncultured bacterium
Lineage: Bacteria
Description: partial 16S ribosomal RNA
Rfam family: Bacterial small subunit ribosomal RNA
Source: RNAcentral
CCUACGGGUGGCUGCAGUGGGGAAUAUUGCACAAUGGGGAAAACCCUGAUGCAGCGACGUCGCGUGAGUGAAGAAGUACUUCGGUAUGUAAAGCCCUAUCAGCAGGGGAGAAAAUGACGGUACCUGAUUAAGAAGCCCCGGCUAACUACGUGCCAGCCGCCGCGGGAAUACGGAGGCGGCAAGCGUUAUCCGGAUGUACUGGGUGUAAAGGGAGCGUAGACGGCAGGACAAGUCUGGAGGUAAAUGCCGGGGCUUAACCCCGGAACUGCUUUGGAAACUGGGCAGCUAGAGUGAAGGAGAGGUAAGUGGAAUUCCUAGUGUAGCGGUGAAAUGCGUAGAUAUUAGGAGGAACACCAGUGGCGAAGGCGGCAUACUGGACUGUAACUGACGUUGAGGCUCGAAAGCGUGGGGAGCAAACAGGAUUAGAUACCCUUGUAGUC